RNAcentral lists this small nuclear RNA (147 nucleotides) under Nannospalax galili (Upper Galilee mountains blind mole rat). RNAcentral describes it as "U1 spliceosomal RNA (ENSNGAG00000005737.1)". It matches the Rfam family "U1 spliceosomal RNA". Rfam says of the family: U1 is a small nuclear RNA (snRNA) component of the spliceosome (involved in pre-mRNA splicing). Its 5' end forms complementary base pairs with the 5' splice junction, thus defining the 5' donor site of an intron. Lineage: Eukaryota; Metazoa; Chordata; Mammalia; Rodentia; Spalacidae. The record is from RNAcentral.
AUACAUACCUGGCAGAGGAGAUACCAUGAUCAGGAAGGUGGUUUUCUAGGGUAAGGCUUAUCCAUUGCACUCUGGAUGUGCUGAUCCCUGGGAUUUCCCCAGAUGCUCAGCUGCAUAAUUUGGGUAGUGAUAGCAUUUGUUCUCUCC